Molecule: long non-coding RNA, 358 nt
Organism: Falco peregrinus (peregrine falcon)
Lineage: Eukaryota; Metazoa; Chordata; Aves; Falconiformes; Falconidae
Exons: 4
Source: RefSeq, a predicted model, not a curated record
UAAAUUCUCCCGUGUGUGUCUGCCACUGACCAUGGCCAUAUGAGGGCAGAGCUUUGUAACUGAUUAACAGGCCAGAGUAGGUUAUUUUGGAGGAAACCUGAGCAGAUGUGCAGUGGUGAGGGGGGGUGAAAUAACACUAUGGAUUAUGAUCCAGUGGCUCAGUGUAUAAAUUGCUGGUCAAGGGUUGUGAGGCAGCUGAGCUGAUGGGACACAGAACUGACUGCACCAGUACCUCCACCACAGCUGAGACCAGGGGACUGUUCCUGGAUGGAGGCCUCACCCAUGUCCAUGGAAGCAUCUGAUGAGAAUGGACCUAACUGGACACCGUUUCGCAUGGAAACCCCUCUGCCAUUCCUCG